GAAACGAGUCUGCCAGGAAACAGACAGCAAUGCCAGUACAUGGCUGAACGUCCUCCCAUGGAAGGUGUGUGGAUGAGCCAAGAUGCUGCUGGAUAGCGUCUCCCCGCUGUCUCGCCAUCCAUCUGCUCUGGAUCAGAUGCGCAGAAGUGGCCAAGAAGCUCAAUGUUGCACGUAAUGGAAGCACAAGUUUCCCGUCCGCCGGACAAAGCACUUGCAGUGGCGGAUUCCUCAGCCCGCUUCAUGCUUGCCUGAGUCUGAACACAUGACAAGUAAAACCUGGCGGCACGGGCUGGGUGGUGGGGCUGGGUGGGGGGGGGUGCGGGGGGAUGGGGGUAUGGGAGGAGGAGGGGAGAUGCUAAAAGUGAUCCUAAGUGUUUGCAUUUGUGUGUGCAGUGCAUGUGUGGAUGCUCGAAUCAGCUGCCUCACCUUUCUUCUCCAUCUACCCUCUCUCUUCGUCCUCUCUGAGGUUGCUGUUGUUCUGCUGUUUUUUGUCCUCCGGACUGGAAUAACCACGCUCUUUCUCUCUGUGGGAGGACCAUGUGAGGCUCUUCAACGUGCAGACAUUGAACUAAAUGAGGAUCUCAGGGAAUUCUGGACUUGGUCGCACCAUCUGAUACAACGGACGGGAGCAGCCGGUCAGGCCCACUUUGUUUGUCGCUCCCACCUGCCCGUCGCCUGAAAAAACACCGCCGUAGGCAGCUCGAAGCCAGCUCCAUUUAAACUCAAAGGAGCAGCUGAAAAAUCAAGACUGGAUGGCCAUAAAUCAAAGAGACCCUGCCUAGUCCGAACUCAGCCGAGAGAUAAAACCAACCCACCGCGAAACGAGACGCAAUUUGUAUCUCCUGCUCUACAAAGUUUCUGAGCCUGUGUGGCUUAGUACAUCAUCGAUUAAUGCUGCAGCCCGGCUUUAAUGCUGCUGUCUGCGCUAAUUCUCUAUUUGAUUAGCUGAAGCCUGGAGUCAAUGUGUGGCCUGCAAGCUGAAGUGAAUCAAUGUGUCCCUGUGGUGAAUUUAUAAGCUGGGGGAGUGCUGCUGGAAUAGAUGUGCCCAGAGCUGGAGGAGCAACGUGACAGUUGCGGGCUCCCGUGUGAGCCCAGAAAGAGACAUUGGCUAAAAGGGGUUGUCCAGGUGUGGUUUUGAUUUGGUGGGAGCUUCAGUGCAUACCAGGACACUCUCAUUCAGUUCAGCUAUUUUUGGAUUUACUGCCAAAACUCAAGAAACGCUGCUCUUUGUUUCACUGCAUAAAAAUGGAAACAGCCCAAAUAAGUUCAGUUUGAACAAGCCUUUAAAAAAGGGUUAAAAAAAAGGUCACGCUAUCAAGCUCCCAAAAAUAUUGCCUACAUCUGAAAACAGUGCCUGUCACCAUAUGGCUGCAAAUGCUGUUACCAGGACAACGGAUGUCGUGGCGAAAAUACAACAUUAUACUGUGAGACCACAAAUCCAAGGAGGAGCCUUGUCAAAUACCAAAAUACAGAAGUCAGAGUUGGAAGAACUGGUCGCACCGUUGGAGGAAAAACAAGGAGAGCUCUCUCAUGUUCACAGGAAAAGUGAUCUUUGGUUGACUUGAGACAAGCAAAAACACACUUUUUGAAAGUUUCCUCAUCAUCAUAAAUCUUUUCUGUCUUCCUAAAUGCAUCUCACAGUUAAAGUGUCAAUUGUCUUUGGAUUGAAACAUAACCAAAAUGGGAAAUAUCUAGAAAUUACUUGAUUAGCUUGUUUCUGGUCACUUCAGUUGCUCAAAAGACAUGAUGUUACGACUGACCUGUAAAGAGUUAGCAGGUUACACUGCUAAUUUAGCAUGCUAAUAAGCUAUCAGCUAUUACAACUUUUGCUGUUUUUAUAAAACAUGACUGUCUGUCCUUAUCUCUCUUUUUUCUGGAGCAAGGUUUCAUUCAAGCAAGGAUGGCAUGUUUAAAGUUUUUUUUUCAUGCAUAUUUGGUAUGUUCACAUCAUCUGGGACACGUUUUGAUGUUUUCACAGUCUUUUGGCACCGACCCUUUUGACCAGAGGGUCAAACCUGCAGACCGACUUUAAUUAUUGGAAGCAGAUCACAUUCUA
Molecule: long non-coding RNA, 2056 nt
Filed under: Takifugu rubripes (torafugu)
Lineage: Eukaryota; Metazoa; Chordata; Actinopteri; Tetraodontiformes; Tetraodontidae
Description: lncRNA (ENSTRUG00000027560.1)
Source: RNAcentral